Long non-coding RNA from Suricata suricatta (meerkat), 251 nucleotides. RefSeq lists it as uncharacterized. The record is from RefSeq and is a predicted model, not a curated record. NCBI's taxonomy places the organism in Eukaryota, Metazoa, Chordata, Mammalia, Carnivora, Herpestidae. The transcript is spliced from 2 exons.
AUUUGCCAGACUGCAUACUGGUGUCUACGGUCAGACAUUGCUAUUUUGGGGUCUGCCCUGCUCUCUCAGACCUGCGGGAGUUUCAGGAAACCCUGCUGCCCAGCUAUUGCUCCAUCUAUUCCUGAGCUCACAGGGAUUUAUGCUACUGCCCACAGACCACCAUGGCUGUAGGAAACUCCACUGGGAUAUCUGAGGAUCAAAGACAAAUUAGGAAAAUAUUGCCUUUAAUAAAAUUCAAACUUUUUCCUUAA